RNAcentral lists this long non-coding RNA (722 nucleotides) under Triticum aestivum (bread wheat). Its description in RNAcentral is "long non-coding RNA (TAES_LNC022559)". Lineage: Eukaryota; Viridiplantae; Streptophyta; Magnoliopsida; Poales; Poaceae. The record is from RNAcentral.
GCAAAAGGAUCACAAAAUCGCUAGGGAAUUAUUAAUAAUGCACCUAUGAAGAUUGUAUGCAGAAUAACAAUUACAAACCUUGAUGAUUCAGGUGAGAGGCUACUCAGAAGGUAGAUUGGAUCCAGAAUAACAAUUGCAAACCUUGAUGAUUCAGGUGAGUCACUCAGAAGGUUGCCAUGACUACAUCGGCGUUGCAUAGUUGAAUCGGAAGACUUUGAUUGCCAAGGUAGAUUGGAUCCAGAAUAACAAUUAGAAACCUUUAUGACUCAGGUGAGAAGCCACUCAGAAGGUUGCUUGGGCGUCACUACAUCUGGCUUGGUGACAUUACGUAGUUGAAUUGGAAGACUGAUUUUGUUGGUAGUGUGCUAGCUAGGUAGUAGAUUUGGCUGACUUCAAUUUUUGGGCAUGUGCUGGGUGCGGUUGCAUGUAUGUGUUUUUAUGUGCCGUGUUUGCCUUGGCAAGUCAUGUUUGUAGUCCGUAUACACGUCUUAUUUGCAUGUGUGUCCGAGUUUGAAAAAAAAUGAUGUCCUUAUUUGCUUAGGUUCCUUAUUUAUUUAUUUAUUUAUUUAUUUAGGUUUGACUACUAUUUUUAUCCUAAUUACAAUAUAAUUGUUUUUAUCCUAAUUACACAUGAUGGAACAUGGAUGUGUUGGUCCGUUAUAUGCACGUACACGUUAUAUGAACGUACACGUGACAACACAACUUUUCUCGUUUACGUGUUG